AUUGAACGCUGGCGGCAUGCUUUACACAUGCAAGUCGAACGGCAGCACGAGUGCUUGCACUUGGUGGCGAGUGGCGGACGGGUGAGUAAUACAUCGGAACGUAUCCUUAAGUGGGGGAUAACGCAUCGAAAGAUGUGCUAAUACCGCAUAUUCUCUGUGGAGGAAAGUAGGGGAUCGAAAGACCUUAUGCUUAUGGAGCGGCCGAUGCCUGAUUAGCUUGUUGGUGGGGUAAUGGCCUACCAAGGCGACGAUCAGUAGUUGGUCUGAGAGGACGACCAGCCACACUGGGACUGAGACACGGCCCAGACUCCUACGGGAGGCAGCAGUGGGGAAUUUUGGACAAUGGGCGAAAGCCUGAUCCAGCAAUGCCGCGUGAGUGAAGAAGGCCUGG
This 391-nucleotide ribosomal RNA is filed under the name uncultured bacterium. RNAcentral describes it as "bacterial SSU rRNA". It matches the Rfam family "Bacterial small subunit ribosomal RNA", at positions 30 to 419 of the family's 1533-position model. The record is from RNAcentral.